Molecule: ribosomal RNA, 169 nt
Filed under: uncultured bacterium
Lineage: Bacteria
Also listed under: 1 other name
Description: partial 16S ribosomal RNA
Rfam family: Bacterial small subunit ribosomal RNA
Source: RNAcentral
CCUACGGGAGGCAGCAGUGGGGAAUUUUGCGCAAUGGGGGAAACCCUGACGCAGCGACGCCGCGUGGAGGAUGAAGGUCUUCGGAUUGUAAACUCCUUUUGUCGGGGAAGAUAAUGACGGUACCCGAUGAAUAAGCCACGGCUAACUCUGUGCCAGCAGCCGCGGUAAU